UACGUAGGGUGCGAGCGUUGUUCGGAAUCACUGGGCGUAAAGGGCGUGUAGGCGGCUUGGCAAGUCGGAAGUGAAAGCCCACGGCUCAACCGUGGAACUGCUUUCGAUACUGCCUUGCUUGAGUACGGGAGAGGAAAGCGGAAUUCCCAGUGUAGAGGUGAAAUUCGUAGAUAUUGGGAAGAACACCGGUGGCGAAGGCGGCUUUCUGGACCGAUACUGACGCUGAGACGCGAAAGCGUGGGGAGCAAACAGG
Molecule: ribosomal RNA, 253 nt
Filed under: uncultured bacterium
Lineage: Bacteria
Description: partial 16S ribosomal RNA
Rfam family: Bacterial small subunit ribosomal RNA
Source: RNAcentral